UUUUUUGAGAGCUAGGGGUCACAGGGUGGGUAGCGGACGGUACCUAGUGCGGCGGUGAGGGGCGGGUCUAGUAACAGAGGUGAGGGGCGGGGUAGGCGGCGGUGACGGGUAGCGUAGGUGGGAGACAUCGUAGGGUGGUGGAGGUAGCGGUGGAAUUGGUAUAGAGAGGAACUAGGAGAGGGAACCUGGUCGUGCGCCGCUACCGAUGAAGGUCAGCACACCGCCACUACGCCGACCAGCUCCUUGGCGCGUCCUCCGCCCGAGACAGGGCAGGCAACUAGAUAGAGGUGGAGGACGAGGAGGCGAGUCUAGCUUGCAGUGUAGGCGUAAAUGCUACUGUGUACUGAGAGAGGAGAGGACGCCGCUACGGAUAUACACUGUUGUUACCACAGGACAACACGGGGAGGUGUGAAACCUGGCGGCUCCGCGCCUUCAGAGGCCUAUUCUAGCGUGAUGCGCAUCGUUUAAGCUGGUACAAGAGUCACCAACGAGCCGUUCCUUAUCGUUCGUGUGCUCUUCCGGACUAGCUUCUGUGAGUGUCAAAUUCAAGAGCACGGCAACGCUAGCACUCCUAAGCAAGCAGAAGCACCGAAGGAGAAGAAGUACCUUAGCAAGAAGAAGGAUCGCCCUAAAGUCAACGUCCACGUCCAAAACGCUACUAGUACUGCGCUCUCGCUACAAUGAACAAAACCUCAAGAAGAAGACGAAGAAGAAGCUAGUCCCCUAUCCAAGGUCCAGCCGUCGGACCCGAUCGUUCCACCUACAGCAAACUCAAAGACAAACACAAAGUAGGCAUCAGCCUACAACUAGAAUACAUACUACUUAACCACAUAAGUACACCGUAACAUACGGAGACAAUACAUAGGGGUUGAUAAUACAUUACAACUACAUUACUAUAGGU
RNAcentral lists this ribosomal RNA (901 nucleotides) under Triticum aestivum (bread wheat). RNAcentral's name for it is "partial small subunit ribosomal RNA". Lineage: Eukaryota; Viridiplantae; Streptophyta; Magnoliopsida; Poales; Poaceae. The record is from RNAcentral.